Molecule: long non-coding RNA, 720 nt
Organism: Micropterus dolomieu (smallmouth bass)
Lineage: Eukaryota; Metazoa; Chordata; Actinopteri; Centrarchiformes; Centrarchidae
Exons: 2
Source: RefSeq, a predicted model, not a curated record
AGUAAAGUGCUUUAAAUGGUCAGUGGAAAAGUCCAUUUACCAUUUUCUCAUCUGUGGCUGUGGACUGUUUUUCCUGGCUUAACUGAUAUCUCUGCAAUGGCCCCUCACCAGCUGCACAACUAGGGGACAACCAGCUGUGAAUGUGCAAGAUGGGAAGGACAGUCCAAAUGGGAAACACAUGUGUCACCAAGGACACCAACGUAGACCUUUCUCUUGGUCAAGAUCAUGUAGGAAUGACCCAACCAAGGACAGUGUGUACAACAUUACAACUUCCCUUCCCAUUCAGUAAUUUAUAUGAAUGUGAUCCUAAAACAUAAAGAAGAGAAGAAGAGGGUUUGCCCUUCCCUUUGUCUCAAUCAGUGGCACCCGGAGGAGUUUUGAUUUAUGUUUCCCAGGAUCUGUGCUCCAGGAACAACCCCAGCUGUUCCAUUGACACCACUGAGGCCAGGGUAGCGAUGAGUAAUGUAAUUAACCAAUGAACGAAAGGAGGGAGAUGUAGAGUUCGUCUGCAUGGGGGUUACAGUUGCCCGCUGAUGUUUCCACACGACAGGGCCAUAUCUCAGGGGAGCUCAUGCACAUGCUGGAAUAUUAACAGAUGGGGAGUGAGUAUGAAGCAGAGUGUGGACCGAUACAGGCAAGUACCAAUACUGAUAGAUUUGCGCUUAAGCUGCUGAAACGGGAUUUUGUGCAAUUAAAAAAUUAAAGAAACUCUCCAUCGAA